AUUGAACGCUGGCGGCAGGCCUAACACAUGCAAGUCGAACGGUAACAGGAAACAGCUUGCUGUUUCGCUGACGAGUGGCGGACGGGUGAGUAAUGUCUGGGAAACUGCCUGAUGGAGGGGGAUAACUACUGGAAACGGUAGCUAAUACCGCAUAACGUCGCAAGACCAAAGAGGGGGACCUUCGGGCCUCUUGCCAUCGGAUGUGCCCAGAUGGGAUUAGCUAGUAGGUGGGGUAACGGCUCACCUGGGCGACGAUCCCUAGCUGGUCUGAGAGGAUGACCAGCCACACUGGAACUGAGACACGGUCCAGACUCCUACGGGAGGCAGCAGUGGGGAAUAUUGCACAAUGGGCGCAAGCCUGAUGCAGCCAUGCCGCGUGUAUGAAGAAGGCCUUCGGGUUGUAAAGUACUUUCAGCGGGGAGGAAGGGAGUAAAGUUAAUACCUUUGCUCAUUGACGUUACCCGCAGAAGAAGCACCGGCUAACUCCGUG
Molecule: ribosomal RNA, 490 nt
Filed under: uncultured bacterium
Lineage: Bacteria
Description: partial 16S ribosomal RNA
Rfam family: Bacterial small subunit ribosomal RNA
Source: RNAcentral